Molecule: ribosomal RNA, 253 nt
Filed under: uncultured bacterium
Lineage: Bacteria
Description: partial 16S ribosomal RNA
Rfam family: Bacterial small subunit ribosomal RNA
Source: RNAcentral
UACGAAGGGGGCUAGCGUUGCUCGGAAUGACUGGGCGUAAAGGGCGCGUAGGCGGCUCAUACAGUCAGAUGUGAAAUUCCUGGGCUUAACCUGGGGGCUGCAUUUGAUACGUGUGGGCUUGAGUGGGGAAGAGGGUCGUGGAAUUCCCAGUGUAGAGGUGAAAUUCGUAGAUAUUCGGAGGAACACCAGUGGCGAAGGCGGCUCACUGGUCCGGUACUGACGCUGAGGUGCGAAAGCGUGGGGAGCAAACAGG